UGGAGAGUUGUCCGAGCUGGCCGAAGGAGCAGCAUUGGAAAUGCUGUAUACGGGUUAAAGCCUGUAUCAAGGGUUCGAAUCCCUUACUCUCCGU
RNAcentral lists this transfer RNA (94 nucleotides) under Limosilactobacillus fermentum. RNAcentral describes it as "tRNA-Ser(gga)". It matches the Rfam family "tRNA". Rfam says of the family: Transfer RNA (tRNA) molecules are approximately 80 nucleotides in length. Their secondary structure includes four short double-helical elements and three loops (D, anti-codon, and T loops). The record is from RNAcentral. Lineage: Bacteria; Bacillati; Bacillota; Bacilli; Lactobacillales; Lactobacillaceae.